RNAcentral lists this ribosomal RNA (468 nucleotides) under uncultured bacterium. RNAcentral's name for it is "partial 16S ribosomal RNA". It matches the Rfam family "Bacterial small subunit ribosomal RNA", at positions 28 to 507 of the family's 1533-position model. The record is from RNAcentral.
GACGAACGCUGGCGGCGUGCUUAACACAUGCAAGUCGAACGGAAAGGCCCUGCUUUUGUGGGGUGCUCGAGUGGCGAACGGGUGCGUAACACGUGAGUAACCUGCCCUUGACUUUGGGAUAACUUCAGGAAACUAGGGCUAAUCCCGUAUAGGAUCCCCUCCUGCAUGGAGGGGAUUGGAAAGUUUCGGCGGGUGGGGAUGGACUCGCGGCUUAUCGGCUUGUUGGUGGGGUAGUGGCUUACCCAGGCUUUGACGGGUAGCCGGCCUGGGAGGGUGGCCGGCCACAUUGGGACUGAGAUACGGCCCAGACUCCUACGGUAGGCAGCAGUGGGGAAUAUUGCACAAUGGGCGGAAGCCUGAUGCAGCAACGCCGCGUGCGGGAUGACGGCCUUCGGGUUGUAAACAGCUUUCGCCUGUGACGAAGCGUGAGUGACGGUAAUGGGUAAAGAAGCACCGGCUAACUACGUG